This 253-nucleotide ribosomal RNA is filed under the name uncultured bacterium. RNAcentral describes it as "partial 16S ribosomal RNA". It matches the Rfam family "Bacterial small subunit ribosomal RNA", at positions 524 to 776 of the family's 1533-position model. The record is from RNAcentral.
UACAGAGGUGGCAAGCGUUGUUCGGAAUUACUGGGCGUAAAGGGCGCGUAGGCGGCCUUCUAAGUCAGACGUGAAAUCCCCCGGCUUAACCUGGGAACUGCGUCUGAUACUGGAGGGCUUGAGUGCGGGAGAGGGAUGUGGAAUUCCAGGUGUAGCGGUGAAAUGCGUAGAUAUCUGGAGGAACACCGGUGGCGAAGGCGGCAUCCUGGACCGAUAUUGACGCUGAUGCGCGAAAGCCAGGGGAGCAAACGGG